GAUGAAGAACGCAGCGAAAUGCGAUAAGUAAUGUGAAUUGCAGAAUUCAGUGAAUCAUCGAAUCUUUGAACGCACAUUGCGCCCGCCAGUAUUCUGGCGGGCAUGCCUGUUCGAGCGUCAUUUCAACCAUCAAGCCCCCGGGCUUGUGUUGGGGACCUGCGGCUGCCGCAGGCCCUGAAAAGCAGUGGCGGGCUCGCUGUCACACCGAGCGUAGUAGAUUUUAUCUCGCUCUGGGCGUGCUGCGGGUUCCGGCCGUUAAACCACCCUUUUAACCCAAGGUUGACCUCGGAUAAGGUAGGAAGACCCGCUGAACUUAAGCAUAUCAAUAAGCGGAGGA
This 337-nucleotide unclassified non-coding RNA is filed under the name soil metagenome. Its description in RNAcentral is "partial contains 5.8S ribosomal RNA, internal transcribed spacer 2, and large subunit ribosomal RNA". The stretch from base 1 to 120 matches the Rfam family "5.8S ribosomal RNA", at positions 35 to 154 of the family's 154-position model. The record is from RNAcentral.